Molecule: ribosomal RNA, 409 nt
Filed under: bacterium
Lineage: Bacteria
Description: partial 16S ribosomal RNA
Rfam family: Bacterial small subunit ribosomal RNA
Source: RNAcentral
UGGGGAAUAUUGCACAAUGGGCGAAAGCCUGAUGCAGCGACGCCGCGUGAGGGAUGACGGCCUUCGGGUUGUAAACCUCUUUCAGCAGGGACGAAGCGCAAGUGACGGUACCUGCAGAAGAAGCACCGGCUAACUACGUGCCAGCAGCCGCGGUAAUACGUAGGGUGCAAGCGUUGUCCGGAAUUACUGGGCGUAAAGAGUUCGUAGGCGGUUUGUCGCGUCGUUUGUGAAAACCAGCAGCUCAACUGCUGGCUUGCAGGCGAUACGGGCAUGCUUGAGUACUGCAGGGGAGACUGGAAUUCCUGGUGUAGCGGUGAAAUGCGCAGAUAUCAGGAGGAACACCGGUGGCGAAGGCGGGUCUCUGGGCAGUAACUGACGCUGAGGAACGAAAGCGUGGGUAGCGAACAGG